ACCGUAUCCAUAUAAAAAAUUAGGUUGGUUCAAAAGUAAUUGUGGUUUUUGCUAUUGAGUGAUGGCAAAAGCUGCAAUUAGUUUUUCACUGAACUAUUUCUUUAAA
This 106-nucleotide microRNA precursor is filed under the name Chlorocebus sabaeus (green monkey). RNAcentral describes it as "miRNA (ENSCSAG00000026440.1)". The record is from RNAcentral. Lineage: Eukaryota; Metazoa; Chordata; Mammalia; Primates; Cercopithecidae.